GCCCUCGUAGCUCAAUGGAUAGAGCGUCUGCUUGCGGAGCAAAAGGUUCGGCGUUCGAGUCGCCGCGGGGGCG
This 73-nucleotide transfer RNA is filed under the name Anaerolinea sp. RNAcentral's name for it is "tRNA-Arg". It matches the Rfam family "tRNA". Rfam says of the family: Transfer RNA (tRNA) molecules are approximately 80 nucleotides in length. Their secondary structure includes four short double-helical elements and three loops (D, anti-codon, and T loops). RNAcentral also lists the same sequence under 1 other name. The record is from RNAcentral. Lineage: Bacteria; Bacillati; Chloroflexota; Anaerolineae; Anaerolineales; Anaerolineaceae.